Long non-coding RNA from Bombus pyrosoma, 803 nucleotides. RefSeq lists it as uncharacterized. The transcript has 4 exons. The record is from RefSeq and is a predicted model, not a curated record. NCBI's taxonomy places the organism in Eukaryota, Metazoa, Arthropoda, Insecta, Hymenoptera, Apidae.
AUUGUAUAAGUAAAAUGCAAUAUAAUGCAAUAUAAUAGAAAAAUAAUAUGUUUUAGUGAUGCAAUAAAUACAUAUUAAUACAAUAACUUUUGGUUACAUUUAUUGUGAUUCCUUUCAAGACAAACAUCUGCACGAAGACCGCGAGCUAUUCUGUUCAAAGAAUUAUAUAAAACGUAUUGUACUUAGAGUAUAUGUGUAAUACCUAGCAACUGUAAAUAGAUGUAAUUAUUCUUUUUGUAAAUUCAUGUUUCGCCACUUUUCAUGACGUAUAUUUUCCAUUAGAUGGAUACCGCGUUUACAAAACGACGAUUAGAUAAAAAUUGCUUUCUGUAUAUUGUCGAUAGAUGGUUUUCUAAUCCAUUUACUAAAUCACGAACGAAAAUUGAAAUUUAUGAAUUGUUAAAUUUAAUACGAAAAUUUCUGUGAUUCCUGUUCUUUUAUUCUUAGAUUUCUAUUUAAAAAAAUUUUAAAUAUAAAGAGUAAUUUUUGUGAAAUAAGAAGACGUAACCGCGAAUUUUAUCGUCUGCAUUGUAACGUAAAGUAUCUGAAAACCAUACAGAUCUGAUUCGGUUACGCUCCAAAUACUAUUUAUCACUACAUAAAGGAUUCGCUCUACCCGAAAAUAUCAUUGUAUUUUCAUCUAUCGCCAUGAAAUCGUUGAAAAUUGUCAGCUUACUUUGUUUUCUCACUUUAAUAAUAUUUAUGAAUGUAAAAGGUAAUAGAGGAAAAACAACUAUGCAGAGUGAUGCUAUGGAAAUUGGGGAUGUACCACGUGUAAAAAUAAAAGUAUUUCGAGGUUCAAA